AACGCACGAGACCUGCGGACCUGCGGAAGGAUCAUUAAUGAGAAACUGCCCCUCGCGGGUAGAUCUCCCACCCUUUGUAAACUUACCUUUGUUGCUUUGGCAGGCCCGUCUCCGGACCGCCGGCUUCGGCUGGCCAGUGCCUGCCAGAGGAUUCUAAGACUCUGUCUGUCAGUGUUGUCUGAGUCUAUAUACAAUCGUUAAAACUUUCAACAACGGAUCUCUAGAUCGGAAGAGCACACG
Molecule: unclassified non-coding RNA, 240 nt
Filed under: soil metagenome
Description: partial contains 5.8S ribosomal RNA, internal transcribed spacer 2, and large subunit ribosomal RNA
Source: RNAcentral